GUAGCUUUACAUGUUGGAAAGAGCCCACGAUAGAAUAAACAGGAAAGGUAGUGAGAGGAGACAGUUGUACAGAGACUGCCAGCCCUGAUUCAGGUCGGGCAUGUCUGUGUCUGAACAACCUCUACCCAGAGGCCAGAGCAGCCAAGCAAGAUUGUGCUCGUUUGCUUGUUUGAAGGCUAGAAAUGGGGUAGUAAAUCCUGCUCCAGGUAGCCCAGCUCAAAAAGAAGUUAUUUUCCAAAGCCGUCCGUGCCUUAGGUGCACACACUAUUUUAAUGAUAUUUCAGGAUUCCUGUCUUCAUCAACAAAUACGAGGUGAGGCAGAAUGAAGGU
This 330-nucleotide long non-coding RNA is filed under the name Homo sapiens (human). RNAcentral describes it as "HSALNT0227881". The record is from RNAcentral. Lineage: Eukaryota; Metazoa; Chordata; Mammalia; Primates; Hominidae.